Non-coding RNA from Paramormyrops kingsleyae, 241 nucleotides. Ensembl annotates it as small Cajal body-specific RNA 6. The record is from Ensembl. Lineage: Eukaryota; Metazoa; Chordata; Actinopteri; Osteoglossiformes; Mormyridae.
GGUCAAUGAUGAGCAGUAAAAGGUCUGAUGCUCCCAACUUCCUUUUGUGUCCAGCAGCCCUUGUUCUACUCCCAGCAUGCUCUAGAUGUGUGUUGUUGGCUACAGGGGCUUCUAACAAAUUGGAUAACCCCUUCUCCUAUGUGCCAAAGGCUAUUGGGACAUAGUUGUGGUGGAGAUCCAAGAUUAUUUUAGUUCUGGAGGAAGGGAGCUGUCCAUGAUCUCAAGUUUUCAAGCUGAGACC